CCCUGCGCGCCUGCAACAGGUGCCCCCGCCACGCGUGGCCGAGGGGUGAAACAGGGAAGCCGGUCCAUUUAAAGCCGGCGCUGCCCCCGCAACGGUAGGUGAGACAAGGGUCGCCUACGCCACUGUGCUCCGGCACGGGAAGGCGCGACCCGCAGGCCAAUGGCCUGGCUCACGAGCCCGGAGACCGGCCUGUCGCGCUUCCACGGC
Molecule: non-coding RNA, 207 nt
Filed under: Aquipseudomonas alcaligenes
Lineage: Bacteria; Pseudomonadati; Pseudomonadota; Gammaproteobacteria; Pseudomonadales; Pseudomonadaceae
Source: RNAcentral